GAUACAAAGGACGAGAUUAACAGUGAAAUUCCAUGCAAUGCCAGCAAUGAUGUUUCUGACUAUCCAGCAGUUGAGGCAAAACCUGAAGAACUAUCCGUUGAAAAAAAAUAUGAAGAACCACCAGCAGUUAUAUUGGAGAAACCUGCAGAACUAGCAGUUGAGGAGACACCUGAAAAAACACUAGUUGAAGAGAAGCCUGAAAACCCAGCAGCACGGGAAGAAACACUUGAAGAACCAGCAUUGGAAGAAACACCUGAAGAACCAACAGUUGAAGAGAAACCUGAAGAAGUAGUAGUUGAAGAAAAACUUGAUAAACCAGCAACUGAAAAAGAGAAACCUGAAAAGGUAACUUUCUGCGAAAAGGUGAGGAUCAAGCACUACCACAAAGUUUGCCAAUCCUAAUAGUUUGUAUGUGCAAGGAAUUCACAUAUGCUUAUUUAUUGAAAGACUAAGUGAAACCUUAAAUUCUUCUUGUAGAAUAUGCCUGUUGUAGACUCAAAUGGUAAGACUGGCAGUAAAAUUACAUGCAACACCAAUAAAGAUGUUGCUGAUAAUCCAGCAGUUGAGGAUGAAGAACCAGAAGUUGAGGAGAAACCUGAAGAACCAACAGUUGAAGAAAAACCUGAGGAACCAGCAAUGGAAGGAAAACUUGAGAAACUGGCAGUUGAAGAUAAACUUGAGGAACGAGCAGUUGAACAGAACCCUGAGGAAACAGCAGUUGAACCUGAAGAACCAACAGUUGAAGAAAAACCUGAAGAACCAGCAAUGGAAGGAAAACUUGAGAAACUGGCAGUUGAAGAUAAACUUGAGGAACGAGCAGUUGAAAAGAACACUGAGGAAACACCAG
This 847-nucleotide long non-coding RNA is filed under the name Nicotiana tabacum (common tobacco). Its description in RNAcentral is "long non-coding RNA (NTAB_LNC000707)". Lineage: Eukaryota; Viridiplantae; Streptophyta; Magnoliopsida; Solanales; Solanaceae. The record is from RNAcentral.